Molecule: ribosomal RNA, 461 nt
Filed under: uncultured bacterium
Lineage: Bacteria
Description: partial 16S ribosomal RNA
Rfam family: Bacterial small subunit ribosomal RNA
Source: RNAcentral
CCUACGGGAGGCUGCAGUGAGGAAUAUUGGUCAAUGGGCGAGAGCCUGAACCAGCCAAGUCGCGUGAAGGAUGACGGCCCUACGGGUUGUAAACUUCUUUUGUCAGGGAGCAAUUGGGUCCACGCGUGGGCUUAGCGAGAGUACCUGAAGAAAAAGCAUCGGCUAACUCCGUGCCAGCAGCCGCGGUCAUACGGAGGAUGCGAGCGUUAACCGGAAGGACUGGGCGUAAAGGGUGCGUAGGUGGGUUGACAAGGUAGUAGGGCAACUCCGGAGCUCAACUUCGGAACUACUACUAAAACUGUUGGACUUGAGUGCAGGAGGGGCAAUCGGAAUUCCUAGUGUAGCGGUGGAAUGCGUAGAUAUUAGGAGGAACACCAGUGGCGAAGGCGGAUUGCUAGACUGUAACUGACACUGAGGCACGAAAGCGUGGGGAGCAAACAGGAUUAGAUACCCCAGUAGUC